Alosa sapidissima (American shad) is the source of this 712-nucleotide long non-coding RNA. RefSeq lists it as uncharacterized. Lineage: Eukaryota; Metazoa; Chordata; Actinopteri; Clupeiformes; Clupeidae. The transcript has 3 exons. The record is from RefSeq and is a predicted model, not a curated record.
UUCAACAAAUAGUAUGUUGUCUUUGAACUAUUCUCAAUUAAAUAUAGUGUUGAUAUGAUUUGUAAAUCAUAGCAUUCUUUUUUUUUAUUCACAUUUUUGAUGUCAUAAUGAUAAGCCUGAACUAAAUCAGGUAGGGAGGAUUACAAAAUUUACCCUGACAAAAUAUUUUUUAACAAAAAAAACGACCAAGCAGCUGGACUCAGAGGACCUGUGGAAGUUUCUGGAAGAGUGUUAGGGCAGCCUCUCUCUCACACAUAUCUGGAUAGCUUCCGUAUAAUCCUGAAGUUCCCCAUGUACAAUUACUCACCCGGUCUUCUUUUGUAAUUUAAUGUCAAGCAGGAUGUGUGUGUAUAAACUUGUGUGUGUGUGUGUGUGUGUGUGUGUGUGUCUGUGUAAAAUGUAGGCCUGUGGAUCCUGCCAUGUCAUUAUUCAGGGCCCCCUGUGAGAAGAACUCACUUCUGCAGCCGCUUCCCCUCCCCUCCAAUGUGUAGGGCUGAUUCUACUCAGCAUGCUGCAUGACUUCAAUAACAACGUUGUUAGCGCCAAGGUGGUUUGAACGACAAGAACAACAACAGACACAAAACAUACACCCAGAAUGGAUCGAGGAGUGGGAGGGCCCAGUGAUCACUUGAGCAAGAGGACAAAUACAUUAGAGUGUUUAGUUGGAAACUAGGGCUGUCAAAAUAACUGAUUAAUUUCGAUUAAUUAAUUU